GAUAAACGCUGGCGGCGGGCAUAACAUAUUCAAGUCGAACGGGAAUCGAAUGAUUGAGACUUCGGUCGAUAGAUUUCGAGGAUAGUGGCGGACGGGUGAGUAACGCGUGAGCAACCUGCCUUUGUGAGGGGGAUAACACAGGGAAACUUGUGCUAAUACCGCAUAAUGCAUAUCGAUUGCAUGGUUGAUAUGUUAAAGGAGCAAUCCGCAUAAAGAUGGGCUCGCGUCUGAUUAGAUAGUUGGUGAGGUAACGGCUCACCAAGUCGACGAUCAGUAGCCGGACUGAGAGGUUGAACGGCCACAUUGGAACUGAGAUACGGUCCAG
This 325-nucleotide ribosomal RNA is filed under the name uncultured bacterium. Its description in RNAcentral is "bacterial SSU rRNA". It matches the Rfam family "Bacterial small subunit ribosomal RNA", at positions 28 to 334 of the family's 1533-position model. The record is from RNAcentral.